This 83-nucleotide transfer RNA is filed under the name Mycobacterium gordonae. RNAcentral describes it as "tRNA-Leu". It matches the Rfam family "tRNA". From Rfam's summary of the family: Transfer RNA (tRNA) molecules are approximately 80 nucleotides in length. Their secondary structure includes four short double-helical elements and three loops (D, anti-codon, and T loops). Lineage: Bacteria; Bacillati; Actinomycetota; Actinomycetes; Mycobacteriales; Mycobacteriaceae. The record is from RNAcentral. RNAcentral also lists the same sequence under 5 other names.
GCGGGCGUGAUGAAAUUGGCAGACAUGCCGGCUUUAGGUGCCGGUGCUCUUAGAGCGUGUGGGUUCGAGUCCCUCCGCCCGCA